GGGGGCGUGACCCGCGCUCCUAGGUCCAGCCUCCUGCUCGUCUAGUGCCUGCUCGCAGUGUGGAAAGACGACCCGGGUUUCAGAACAGCAAGGCUCCAUUUCACAGAUGAGAGAAAUUGAGGCCCGAACGGAGAAGCGGCUGGCUCUGGAUAGCCCAGAGAGCCUGGGUUUCCGGACCCUCUUGGAAGAUGCUUCUCGGACCCUGAUCUACAAAUAUCAGGACCGAAAUUUAAAGCGGGCGCUCCUUUACAUCUGCUCCCCUGGGCUUUCUCAAUUCCUAAAUAAUGUUGCUGUUCGUGUUCCUGAGACCCGGAGGGCCUACCCAGAUCCCUCCCGGGUGGGAGCAAU
RNAcentral lists this long non-coding RNA (348 nucleotides) under Homo sapiens (human). RNAcentral's name for it is "HSALNT0400679". Lineage: Eukaryota; Metazoa; Chordata; Mammalia; Primates; Hominidae. The record is from RNAcentral.